This 48-nucleotide ribosomal RNA is filed under the name Hansenula anomala. RNAcentral describes it as "Wickerhamomyces anomalus partial 28S ribosomal RNA". The record is from RNAcentral. Lineage: Eukaryota; Fungi; Ascomycota; Saccharomycetes; Phaffomycetales; Wickerhamomycetaceae. RNAcentral also lists the same sequence under 2 other names.
UUUGACCUCAAAUCAGGUAGGACUACCCGCUGAACUUAAGCAUAUCAU